Molecule: transfer RNA, 67 nt
Filed under: Platanista minor (Indus River dolphin)
Lineage: Eukaryota; Metazoa; Chordata; Mammalia; Artiodactyla; Platanistidae
Also listed under: 1 other name
Description: transfer RNA-Val
Rfam family: tRNA
About the family: Transfer RNA (tRNA) molecules are approximately 80 nucleotides in length. Their secondary structure includes four short double-helical elements and three loops (D, anti-codon, and T loops). Further hydrogen bonds mediate the characteristic L-shaped molecular structure. tRNAs have two regions of fundamental functional importance: the anti-codon, which is responsible for specific mRNA codon recognition, and the 3' end, to which the tRNAs corresponding amino acid is attached (by aminoacyl-tRNA synthetases). tRNAs cope with the degeneracy of the genetic code in two manners: having more than one tRNA (with a specific anti-codon) for a particular amino acid; and 'wobble' base-pairing, i.e. permitting non-standard base-pairing at the 3rd anti-codon position.
Source: RNAcentral
CAAGAUAUAGCUUAAACAAAGCAUCUAGUUUACACCUAGAAGAUUCCAUCAUACAUGUAUAUCUUGA